UACAGAGGGUGCGAGCGUUGUCCGGAAUCACUGGGCGUAAAGGGCGCGUAGGUGGCGACCCAAGUCGAUGGUGAAAGCUCGCCGCUCAACGGCGAGUCGGCCACCGAUACUGGGUUGCUUGAGCACUGUAGAGGCUAAUGGAAUUCCGGGUGUAGCGGUGGGAUGCGUAGAGAUCCGGAAGAACACCGGUGGCGAAGGCGGUUAGCUGGGCAGUUGCUGACACUGAGGCGCGACAGCGUGGGGAGCAAACAGG
This 253-nucleotide ribosomal RNA is filed under the name uncultured bacterium. Its description in RNAcentral is "partial 16S ribosomal RNA". It matches the Rfam family "Bacterial small subunit ribosomal RNA", at positions 524 to 776 of the family's 1533-position model. The record is from RNAcentral.